UACGGAGGGUGCAAGCGUUAAUCGGAAUUACUAGGCGUAAAGCGCACGCAGGUGGCUGAGUCAGUCGAUUGUGAAAGCCCUGGGCUUAACCUGGGAAUUGCAGUCGAUACUACUCAGCUAGAGUAUGGGAGAGGGUAGUGGAAUUCCCGGUGUAGCGGUGAAAUGCGUAGAUAUUGGGAAGAACACCAGUGGCGAAGGCGGCUAUCUGGACGGUUUCUGACACUAAGACUCGAAAGCGUGGGGAGCAAACAGG
RNAcentral lists this ribosomal RNA (253 nucleotides) under uncultured bacterium. RNAcentral describes it as "partial 16S ribosomal RNA". It matches the Rfam family "Bacterial small subunit ribosomal RNA", at positions 524 to 776 of the family's 1533-position model. The record is from RNAcentral.